This 1483-nucleotide ribosomal RNA is filed under the name metagenome. RNAcentral's name for it is "bacterial SSU rRNA". It matches the Rfam family "Bacterial small subunit ribosomal RNA". The record is from RNAcentral.
GGAGUUUGAUCCUGGCUCAGGAUGAACGCUAGCGGCAGGCUUAACACAUGCAAGUCGAGGGGCAGCACGGUAGCAAUACUGGUGGCGACCGGCAAACGGGUGCGGAACACGUACAGAACCUACCUUGAUCUGGGGCAUAGCCCGGAGAAAUCCGGAUUAACUCCCCAUAAUAUAUAUGAGUGGCAUCACUUGAAUAUUAAAAAUUUAUUGGAUCGAGAUGGCUGUGCGUCCCAUUAGCUAGUUGGUAGGGUAACGGCCUACCAAGGCGACGAUGGGUAGCUGGUGUGAGAGCACGACCAGCCACACGGGCACUGAGACACGGGCCCGACUCCUACGGGAGGCAGCAGUGAGGAAUAUUGGUCAAUGGACGCAAGUCUGAACCAGCCAUGCCGCGUGAAGGAUGAAGGCCUUCUGGGUUGUAAACUUCUUUUACCUGGGAAGAAACCCCGAUUUUCUAAUCGGGUUGACGGUACCAGAGGAAUAAGCACCGGCUAACUCCGUGCCAGCAGCCGCGGUAAUACGGAGGGUGCAAGCGUUAUCCGGAUUUACUGGGUUUAAAGGGUGUGUAGGCGGGCUUUUAAGUCAGUGGUGAAAUCUCCGGGCUCAACCCGGAAACUGCCAUUGAUACUAUUAGUCUUGAAUUUUGUUGAGGUAGGCGGAAUAAGUCAUGUAGCGGUGAAAUGCAUAGAUAUGACUAAGAACACCAAUUGCGAAGGCAGCUUACUAAGCAAAUAUUGACGCUGAGGCACGAAAGCGUGGGGAUCAAACAGGAUUAGAUACCCUGGUAGUCCACGCCCUAAACGAUGAUUACUCGACAUACGCGAUACACAGUGCGUGUCUGAGCGAAAGCAUUAAGUAAUCCACCUGGGAAGUACGACCGCAAGGUUGAAACUCAAAGGAAUUGACGGGGGUCCGCACAAGCUGUGGAGCAUGUGGUUUAAUUCGAUGAUACGCGAGGAACCUUACCUGGGCUAGAAUGCUACCUGACGAAUGCCGAAAGGUGUUUUUAUAGCAAUAUACAGGUAGUAAGGUGCUGCAUGGCCGUCGUCAGCUCGUGCCGUGAGGUGUUGGGUUAAGUCCCGCAACGAGCGCAACCCCUAUUUUCAGUUGCCAGCACGUAAUGAUGGGAACUCUGAAGAAACUGCCGCCGUAAGGCGUGAGGAAGGAGGGGAUGAUGUCAGGUCAUCAUGGCCUUUAUGCCCAGGGCUACACACGUGCUACAAUGGGGGAGACAAAGGGACGCUACCUGGCGACAGGAUGCAAAUCUCAAAAACUCCCUCUCAGUUCAGAUUGUAGUCUGCAACUCGACUACAUGAAGCUGGAAUCGCUAGUAAUCGCGCAUCAGCAAUGGCGCGGUGAAUACGUUCCCGGACCUUGUACACACCGCCCGUCAAGCCAUGGAAGCUGGGUGUACCUAAAGUCGGUAACCGCAAGGAGCCGCCUAGGGUAAAACUAGUAACUGGGGCUAAGUCGUAACAAGGUA